ACAAAUAUCCAAACUGUAUCAGGACUAAGGACCAAGCCCUUCUCUGUCUCUUGGGACUAGGUAAGACCUGAAAUUCUUAUACGCUCCAAGGAGAUGGAAUGGACAGACUAGAGGUUCAGAGCCAGUCUAAUUUGAUAUGAAAAGGUAAAAAAAUUUGAUACUUCUUACAUCUCAGUUCUGUAGAAGAAACUCAAACCCAUUGUGUAAUUCUUUCACUUGAUAUUUGGUAUAAUAGUCAUGGUCAUCAGCUCAUUCUGAGCAGGAGUGCUAAUGAAGGAUGUGUGUCUGUCAAGUCCAGGCUGCUUCAUACAACUCUUGUGCACUCCACCCUCUAUCCCCCCAUCAUCCUCACCCCCAGUUCUUCCUCCUAUUCCCCACACUGUGGUGGUGUUGUUAAUUCAUCCACCCAUUAGGCUGAAAUGCAGGAUAUCAGGCCCAGGCCCCUAAUUGCUGUUGUAGACUGGAUACACAUUCUUAUCAACUCCCUUUACCAUGGGCUUUUUUCUCUGACCCUCUGGUAAGUGGCCUGGGACCUUCUCUAAAAUAGCAUCAUAAAUCAGCCAGAGCUGGAGUGGUAUCACCACAAAAUGAAGAAGGAGAUGAGUAGAGUACCUUCUACACAUCCUCACCCUGGGUGGCUCAAAGAGGAACUAUGCUUGUCUGAGUACCAUUGAUGAUUGAGAUAGAAUUGUAAGGUGGGUGAUCUGUCUUGCGUAGCCUCCUUCACUCUAAUCUAAUCUUACCACCUAACAUGCCCUUCCCCAUCUAGGUUACUCUUCUAAGUCUGCCUCAGUUACCUGCUGUAACCCCUUUAAAAGUGUUCCAGGUGAUUCUCCUGCAUUCGCCCAGGAGACUAUGUACAUACUUUCAACUUGAUGCAGGAACUUCCUUCAGAAUAAGCCUGCAGAUGGCAUUCAGUCUCUGCUCAGAUGUUCCCAAUGAUGCAGUGCUCAUGAGCUCAACGAAGCCAGCUCCCUUCGAACAGCUCCAUUGGGAGCAGUCUUGCAUGCGGAUGAUCAAAGGUCGGUCUCUGGAUGACAUACGUAAAUAAGCUUAUCUAGAGAGGCUACCUGCAACCGAGAAUGUUAAGCUUUCCACCCUACCCCUGAACUAAUGGUUGGCUCUGUACACAUUAUCUCAAGGGAGAGACCUGCCAGCAUAAAAAGAAGAAAGUAUCCUAAUAGUAAUCUUGGAUAUAGGUCCACAAGCCUAAGUCCCAGAGGUAAGAGUGAAUUUGGGGCAUAGAACUUGUCUUGGCCAGAACCAUGAAAUCAGAAUUUUUCCCUGUCUAGAAGAAUAAUUUUCCUGGUCUUGGAAGGGAGAGUAAGAAGGCUAAUGUGUCUCUAAGCAAGAGGAUAUAUACCCCACAUCCCAGACAGAACCAUCUGGGAGGUAGUCCUAGCCCUACAGAGAGAAUAGCUGUAUAGGCAACUAGGCAGGUAGAAUAACAGGUACCCUUGGCCCCAGGUAGGGCCUGAGAGCACAGAGGCGGCAGGCAGCAUACUGGAAAGGGACAGAGGAUAUCCCACUGGCAAAUUAGAUAGCCUGGUAACGGAGGAUCAAGGACCACAUGAUAUGCAAUGUGCUCUCCCCACUCCCACUCUGACAUGCAUAACUUUGCACAGGAUGGAGGAGAGAGAAGCAAGAAAAUGACUGAAGCUAUAUUUUCUAAUAGACUGGCAGGAAAAAUAUUAGAAAUAAAAAUUAAAUCACAAUGAAUAAUUUUUCUUAUAUACCUGUUUGUGCACUGGGAUUCAUUCUAACUAUUCUGUGAUGGUAUUUUAGAUAGUUAGAAUAUUCAUUCUAACUAUUCUGCUAUGAUGUUUUCUAAGCUCUUCCAAUUCCCAUUGGUCUUAACUCUGCUUUCACUGAGCAACUUAAGAAAGAAAAGACUUAAUUAAAAAAAAAAAAACCUUUUAGGUUCACAGCAAA
This 1932-nucleotide long non-coding RNA is filed under the name Homo sapiens (human). Its description in RNAcentral is "HSALNT0381248". The record is from RNAcentral. Lineage: Eukaryota; Metazoa; Chordata; Mammalia; Primates; Hominidae.